This 314-nucleotide unclassified non-coding RNA is filed under the name plant metagenome. Its description in RNAcentral is "partial contains 5.8S ribosomal RNA, internal transcribed spacer 2, and large subunit ribosomal RNA". The stretch from base 1 to 105 matches the Rfam family "5.8S ribosomal RNA", at positions 50 to 154 of the family's 154-position model. The record is from RNAcentral.
GAAAUGCGAUAAUUAAUGUGAAUUGCAGAAUUCAGUGAAUCAUUGAGUCUUUGAACGCACACUGCGCCCCCUGGUAUUCCGGGGGGCAUGCCUGUCCGAGCGUCAUUGCUGCCCUCAAGCACGGCUUGUGUGUUGGGCUUCCGUCCCUGGCAACGGGGACGGGCCCAAAAGGCAGUGGCGGCACCAUGUCUGGUCCUCGAGCGUAUGGGGCUUUGUCACCCGCUCCCGUAGGUCCAGCUGGCAGCUAGCCUCGCAACCAAUCUUUUUAACCAGGUUGACCUCGGAUCAGGUAGGGAUACCCGCUGAACUUAAGC